This 511-nucleotide long non-coding RNA is filed under the name Anser brachyrhynchus (Pink-footed goose). RNAcentral's name for it is "lncRNA (ENSABRG00000005936.1)". Lineage: Eukaryota; Metazoa; Chordata; Aves; Anseriformes; Anatidae. The record is from RNAcentral.
UAAGAAUAAGCAGGCUAUAUCAAGAACAACAAACACCAUUCGAAGCAGGCUUGCUGGUUGCUAGUGCAAUCUGCUUUAGGAACAAAGCAGGGACUGCCAGCUCUCGCACAGCCAAGGGGCACAGCACAGGACCACCGAGCAGCAGCCCCGUGACCUGUCAGAAACAAAUCCGGGUAUUCCAGUCCAGAUGAGAGCAUAAUAUGAGUCAAAUAUUGCUCAUUUCGAAAAAGCGCUAUGCUAAGAUCUGUUGUUUGUGGGAUUGCUUGGACUCAGUAAGGCACUCCGAUUUACUUUGGGAUCAAAUCCCCUUCCUGAGGAAAUCAAGCGGCCCUUUGCGAACAGGCAGCAGGAGUUGGUGUGCGAGCGGAGGCUGCGCUGUGAGCUGGGUGCAGGAUCAUGCUCGAAGUUCAAGGCUUCCAGAAGUCCUAAAACCUGCUUUUUGUGGGCAAACAGUUAAAGGUCCGUGGUAGCACGAACAGCUUUGGUGUCCGGGCGCCAAAGGAGACACCUG